Molecule: long non-coding RNA, 1577 nt
Filed under: Manacus vitellinus (golden-collared manakin)
Lineage: Eukaryota; Metazoa; Chordata; Aves; Passeriformes; Pipridae
Description: lncRNA (ENSMVIG00005000118.1)
Source: RNAcentral
GUCUUUUUCCAGGACUUCUAAAUAAACUGACAAGUAAUUUCUAUCUCUCUGCCUUCACACCCUUAAUUAGGCAGAGUUGGACAAGGCAGGACUUGUUUAUUGAGAUAUUGGUCGUGUUGGAAUUGUGUUGCAUCCCUCCUGUCCCUCUUUAGACAGGGUGGGAGUCUCAGGAGAAAACUGCUGGGAGGCUUUUAAACAUUUCAGGGAGACACAAAGAAUCUGCAAGAGCCGCAAAAGAUCAGCAAAGUGCAUGCAGGUUUGGCGCAGGGGGAAGAAGGGCUGUCCAUCCCGUGUGCUGGGCACUGCAGAGCUGGUUGCCUCUGGAAAGCCGGUGGCUGCAGGAGCAAGAGCAGGAGCAGAGCCCUCAUUUGAGCACCAAGAAGUAGGUGGUCCAGCCAGCGAGGAGCAGUGCCCCGAGCAGCACCGUGUAGCUGAACAGCACGAAGGCCAGCAGCUCCCUCAGCACCUUGAGGACGUGGAUGGCGAAGGACUCCGGCAUCGCGCUCUCCGGCAGGUAGGAUCCCUGGGGCUGGAUGCUCCUGCUCCUCCCCGGCCUGUAAGCACAGGGACAGGGUGAGUCUUCCCGAGCAGGGAGACUGUAAUUCACAGUUUCUCCCCAGUGGCUCUGCCGUGGGGAGAAACCCUGUGAUCAGGGGGGUUGAUGUCCACCUGGAAUGUUGUUAGUGUCUGCUGGGACUCGUGUGCCUGUUCAGAGUCCUCCCGAGCUGUGCAGUGUUGAAAGAGAGUUUGGAAUCUGAUCAAAGUCCCCCAGUUAGGACUGUUAACAGAGCAGAUGGAAAUACAGACACAGGCCGUGGGCACGGCUGUGUGGGUGAGGCCAGAGGCUCUUACAGAGUCCAGCUGGCUCCUGGAAUCUUUCCCCUGUGGCAGUGGCUGGGUAUCCAGGAAGCUUCAGGAUCAGAGUGGCCACUGAUGGUGCAGUACCAACAGCGUGUUCUGAUCAAAGUGGUCAAUUCCUCCAAGGAAGCCACCAUUAAUAUUUAAUGCUAUAAUUGCAUCUAAUGGAAAUACUGGCACAAACUGAGCCUUUUGUUUAAGAAUGACGAAAACCGAGGCUUAAAUACAAGUUUGAACAGGCAAAUAUUUAUAUCUCACGUUAAAAAUAACCUUUAAAUGGGAGAUAUAGGGUAAAAUGCUUUAGAAUUCAUCUUAUAGCUUUAUUUUAAAGUCAUACUUACACUUGCUUUGGAAGUAAUUGCUUGAUAGUUUAAAUUUAAAUCCAAACUCUUUCACAAAAGUCGUUGGCUCCUUAGACUUAAAGCUGUGAAGACCCACCUAAAAAAUUCUAUCAUCUCUCCGAUUUACAUGUUCUUUUAAAUUUUGAUCACAACUGUGCCUGCUGAAAAAUAUCUUAUGUGCUCUUGGUCAAGCACAUAAAGGGAGUUUAAAAUGAGACUUAAGAUAAAGCAAACCCAAAAGGAUUAUUUCUCUUCUAAGCGGUCUAAAGGCAGCCAAAGUAAACUGAAUUCUCAUCCUGUCACUUACAAUGUUUUUUAAAGAGGUCUUCUGGUAGAGUUCACUUUUUGCUGUUGUUAAAGAGUUCAGUCAUUUCAUUC